Molecule: ribosomal RNA, 477 nt
Filed under: uncultured bacterium
Lineage: Bacteria
Description: partial 16S ribosomal RNA
Rfam family: Bacterial small subunit ribosomal RNA
Source: RNAcentral
GAUGAACGCUGGCGGCGUGCAUAACACAUGCAAGUCGAACGAAGAAACUUAGUAGACUUCUUCCGAAAGACACUAAGCGGAGUAGUGGCGACCGGGUGAGUAACGCGCGAGUAACCUGCCUUACCCACGGGGAUCGCCUUUUGAUACGAAGUAUAAUACUCUAUAACACCAUACAAGCACAUGAUAGACUGUUCAAAGUGCUAGCAGCGUAAGAUGGACUUGCGUCUGAUUAGCUAGUUGGUGAGAUAAACGAUCUCCAAGGCGACGAGCAGUAGCCGGCGCGAGAGAGCGGACCGGAACACUGGGACUGGGACCAGGCCCAGACUCCCACGGGAGGGAGCAGUGGGGAAGUUUGAACAAUGCGGGAAACCAGGAUGCAGCGGCGUCGCGUGAUUUAGAAGGCAGGCGGGUUGUAAAAAUCUUUUGUAUAGGAAGAAAAUGACAGUACUAUACGAAUAAGGUCCGGCUAAUUACGUG